Molecule: small RNA, 279 nt
Filed under: Arabidopsis thaliana (thale cress)
Lineage: Eukaryota; Viridiplantae; Streptophyta; Magnoliopsida; Brassicales; Brassicaceae
Description: ATSL164670
Source: RNAcentral
CCCGAAAAGUCUUCGUGUUACAUCCCUUUUUUUUUUUGGUUUUUCUCUUUUUGUUUUGUUAAAAAUGUAUGACUCUAUAACUUUUAGACUGUGAGGCCAAACUUGGCAUGUGAUAUAUUUUCGGAAAGCCCAAAGAGAGCUCUCCGAUAAAUGAGGAAGCACAAUGGAAUUCUUCUAUUGUUUUUCUUUUCUACUCCAAAUUUUGACCUUAAUGUACUUUUUCAUGCCUUUUCGUGAUCUUUUGCUAUAUUACAGGGCGAAAGUUAUAUGUUCGUAUAC